UGGUCUAAACAAAAGUACAGUCAAUAACAAAAUAGAAAAAUCUAUAUACCGUGUGUGCAAAUGGAGUAAGGAGGAUAGUUUUGAAUGGAGCUCAUCCAGUUUAUUCUCCAGUGAUUACACAUUUGCUAGUAGAACGGAGGGUUAUCCACUUGUCAGUUAUCCCGCUCGCCGGCCUCUUCCAACAAAUGAAGGGGAUCUGGGACUGGUCCGGGAAGAGCAUUAUGUCCUUCACAUCUGACUCAUUGAAGAAUAAAUCCUCAACCAGAUCAAGAACUCAGGUGACACCGACAGCUGAGCUUCAGUUUCAAGCCUGCAGAAGACACUGGUGUUGUCUGGCAGCCCCAUGCCCAGGAUGAUGGUGUGUCGUAUGGCUAUGCCGAGGUCUAUGGGCAGUGUUAAAAAAAAAGUGACUCAAAUAUUUGUAAAAAAAUAAAAUUCUGGGGCAGUUGACAAGACUAUAACUGACUAAAUAGACCCAGAAAAACCCUUAACAGAACUUGUUUUUCAUUUCAGUGUUCUAAAACUGGAGGAGACUAAAUUAUCUCAGUGACUAAAAUCUGACUACUGAGUGGACUGGACAAGAGUUUUUAGAGAGAUUGAGAGCUUUUCAAUUAUAAGCACAGUUAAUAUUAGCAGCACAGAUGAGCAACACAGUUCUGUUCAGCAGUGGGAAGGACACGACACACCCGCCACACACAACCUAGCCUACAUCAGCUGGUGAGCUGCAAGGGAGCAAGCGAUGAGAAUAAGCAGACAGGCUCCACCUCUGAUUAUACACAUCGAGAAGGCGACUCUCUUGCUUUCCAGUGGCUAACGAGUCACCAGCUGCCUGGUUAAGAAACACAAGCUGCUUUACAAAAUUAAAAACAAUAGCCGCAUUAAGUGUAAUAGUAAAACAACAGUGUAGUUAUUUUUCUCUCCUUGAGUGUAGAAACGUUUUUGAAUUUGUAGUCUAUCAACCCUCACACAUUCCUCACCGCUUUCAUAGCCAGGUUCUGUAGCUAACGAGCUAACCAAGUAUUCUAUACAUGCCUAUCUGACAUGUUGAAUAAGGAAUAAUGUUGGCUCUAUUCAUGGCAUUUCUAUCUGAAACAUUCAAGAAUGUUUUGCCACUGAGCGUUGCCCUGGUAACAUUAGAAGUUAAAAAAAUAUAUACAAAAAAUAAAUAACAAAAACAUGAGAAGUAGCCUAUAUUGCAAACAUUUUGUGGCACAGCAAGAUAGUAAAAUGGAUAGCAAACAGUUUGACUAAAUCUCUCUUGCCACUACAGUAUAUCUUUAUUUCGAGUUAAUGUGGACCCAGUGACCGAGACUUGAGCAUGGGGACUUCAUUCAUAGGGACUCGUAACUCAACUCGUGACUCGACCAUUGGUGACUCCGACUUGGACUCGAGCACAGGGGACUUGGGACUGGAUACAGAUUUGAGGUUUAGUGACUCGACUACAUCACUGGGCAAAACAGUCAUUAGCUCCCGUUCAAAGUCAUUAGCUCCCAUUUGACUUUUGGACAUCAAUGUGGCUGUGGCGUUUGUGGAACGUUGAAAACAAUGGCAAUGACGUGACCGAGUGAUGCAACGAAUACUAUUUUGCGACACCAGCUGGCGUGUCUGUUUGUAUUGUAAAUGUAUUGUGCAAUAUCUGCGUAGGCUGAAUUAGGAAUUUAUAUGGCCAAAUAAUGGUUAUAUAUUCAUAUGUUUGUCAUAUUUCUUCUGUUGGGAAGAGAAUAGGAUGUUCUGCAAAAAAAUAUGUUGGAAGGACAAGGAUUUGUAUGUUUGUGCACAUGGAAGUCAGUGAUAUGUUUACUAUAGGUUAAUGAGGCAAUACAAAUGCGAUGUGACUAAAAUGAAAGGACAUUUGGUUGACUAAAAUGGCUCACCGUUUUCAUUCUUUUGACAGUAACUAUACAAAGGUAUUAUUCAAAUGUUAAAAACGUGACUAAGAC
This 1940-nucleotide long non-coding RNA is filed under the name Salmo salar (Atlantic salmon). Its description in RNAcentral is "lncRNA (ENSSSAG00000088869.1)". Lineage: Eukaryota; Metazoa; Chordata; Actinopteri; Salmoniformes; Salmonidae. The record is from RNAcentral.